Serinus canaria (Common canary) is the source of this 3367-nucleotide long non-coding RNA. RefSeq lists it as uncharacterized. The transcript has 3 exons. The record is from RefSeq and is a predicted model, not a curated record. NCBI's taxonomy places the organism in Eukaryota, Metazoa, Chordata, Aves, Passeriformes, Fringillidae.
UUCAAACAGUGGUCUAAACGUCAGGAGGAUGACGACAACUGUCAGGACACACUCUUAAGAGAAAUGAAUAAAGAUAAAGAAUAAAGAAUACUUGUUUACUAAAUCUUUCAUAUCCAUAGCGAGCUCAAAGACAUCUGCCAGUCCUUCCCAUAAGAAGGGCAAAGGAAGAACAGAAAAGCCCUCAGCCUGAGCCAUUGAAAGCAGCAGCAGCAGCAGCUUUGUGUACUCUGGUGUGGCAGGCAUUCCUAGGUUGGCUUUUUCUCUUUUGCAUCUAGCACUGGUAGAGGAAAGUUCUUUGCAAGGUGAUAGUUGCAGCCUUGUAUUGAAAUGUGAGCAAAGAGGAGCUUUCUCAAUUGGAUUUGGGUUUAUUCACAGCACUUGUAAACAGCGUUAACGUGAAGAUAACGCGUGCGGGGAGUGUGCCGUGGGUUACCACAAGCGAUGAAGGAUUUUGGGACGGUGCCAAGGCAGUUUCCCCCUCAGCGCACUGUUUUUUUUUCCGGAAGAAUUACGCGAGAGCGGAAAAGUUGCAAUGGCAUCGCAGUUCCCUGCUCAGAAAAUGCCCAGGGAGUGAAGCACGGCCAAGUGGUGCCAUUGAACUGCGCCACAGCUGGGAGCAUCAGGUUCAUUCCUGUUGUAAUCCUCAAAUGGCAAAACAGCGUUGCUCUUUAUUGAAAACAAUUUUGCUCUCAGAAUGUUGAUGGAGGUGAUGAUUGCAGGGGCGACGAUUGUGAAGAAUAACUCCCUCAUCUUCCCCAGGGCCUGGGCAGAGAGAGGUGGAGCUCGGAGUCCCCCGAUCCUCCCGCGGGCGGUUGGCGUCUGCAGCGCCAUCGGGACGGGAUCCACGUCCCGGCUCCUUCCUCCAGAGGCCGAAAGCUCAGCCGACAGUUUCAUGCAGGAUAGUCACCUUUCCAAGGCAAUAGAAGCACUUGCCAAGAGCGGCUGGUGUAGAUGGCUCAGAAGCAAUGACAGGAGUGCAGUGAAAAGUUUGGUCCAUCGGUCCAGCUUCCGGACAUGGUAGGGAAGACACACCUUUUGAUAAAACACCAAACACAGUAGUUUUCAUUCUUUGUGUUUUUCUGUGCUCCCAUUCGGAUUACCCCUGGAAGUAUUAUUUUUGCAAAAGUUAUCUAGGAGAGAAAUCAUAACUUGCUUUGCAUCCUUCUGCCUGGAAGGGUUGUGACACAGGGAAGUGAGGAAGGGGCUGGCCGGGGCCAGCCUUUGCUGAGCCUCAGCUCUGGCUGCUGCUCCUGCUUCCAGGGUAAACCCAAAAGCUGUCAUGAUCAAAAAAGCAGGCAGCCCUUCUGUCCUGAGUCACAGGGGCCAUUUCUUCCUAAGUGACUCAAGAUGGGAAAUCAUUCUUGGAGCUUCAGAAGAAAAAAAAGAAAAAAAAAACAUAUACCUUGAUAGAUGUGUCUAUAUACACACACAUUUCCUUCCAUGAAGAAAGAAACUCUUAGAAAUAUCAUGUCGUGUCUGGCUUCCUAGAGAGGAUCCUUAACUCUGGGCUACUGAAAUCAAAUGUCUGUGCGUUUAUAGACCAUUUCCCUUCUUUUUGUGUGCCUCCCACAGCGAUCUUCUCCCCUGCUCCAUGGCAAGAAGAGUUUGGUGACUUUGCUGCUCUGCUCUCUCAGGGGUGUUUGCAGGCUGUGUAGCAGGGAGUGAAGCCUUUGUCGCUGCCCAUCAGACAUUUUCCUACAGAAUUCUCCCUGCAGUGAUAAAAGUAGACUUGUGUUAGUGAGCUGCCAAGUAGAGCAGGUAACAUGGGACAGGAACUGUUUCUGAGCUGCUGUUCACUAGCACGUGUUUCCCCUUUCCAGCAGAGCGCUGCCGCCCAAGAAGGGAUUUUUGUGGGUCAGCCAGAUGUGCUCCUGCCUCCCACUGAGGCUCUGAGCUGGAGCUGAGUUUGCGUUCCAGUUCAUUGGAACAGAGGGCAUCAGAAGUUUCCUCAGCUGAGGCACAGAGCCAUGGAACCAAGUAAGCCUGAGCUCCUGCGUGCUUGCUGUGAGCCUUGAGGACAGCGUGAAGACUGAAAGUGUUAGAAGAUGUGGGGUGCAAUGGAGAAUGUGGCAGGAGCAUCCAAAGCACGAGUGCACGAGUUUUGCUUUUUGCUUGGAUUGAAACUCAAAAGUUGUAAGGAAUUUGGGAAUGAGAUGGGACAUUUGAGAAGAAGAGGAAGGAGGAGAAGAAGUUGUUGUUACAGUCCUGACAAAAUCUUUUGUUCUAGCUAAUAAAAGAAGUUAGUUAAAAAAAAAAAGCAAAAUAUGUUUGGUUUUUUUUUUCCUGAAUAUUAUAUUCGUUGGUGGUGUAUGGUGUGUUGUUUUAUUUCUUGUUAUUAUUAACUGUCUGUCAUUGUUUUUUUGGGUGAGGCUAACUCUAUGGAUGGGUGUUGUGUAUUUGAGGUAGGAUUAAUUUCAGUAGGUUUCUUUAAUAGACAUCUGGUACAUAUUGUUGGGAUUUUGGUUUUGUUUAUUGGAUGGACAAACAAAGAGAUUUGGUAGGGCUAGCUCGGCUGCUGGAGUUUUGGGUGUUAAUUUAUUAGAUGGCUUUUGUUGAAUGCAGUUUUUAAUGUUUGAAAGUUUUUUAAAAAAGGUAGUGGUUUUAAGGUGGUUUUUAAGAAUUGAUUGUAUUGUUUCAUGCUGUUUGUAGUUGGUGUACGAUAAGGGAUAUGGUGUACUGCUUGAGUUGUUAUGGUUUUCGUGUUCCUAAGUUCCGAUUCAUUUCUGCUAUGAUGGGUUUUUUAGUUUUAUCUUUGGGGACAGGGGCAUUUUUCUGGUGGGUUCUUAUAGGCAACAUUUUUUUAAAUUUGAGUAGUGGUAUUUUUUAAUAUUUUAAUAGUUCUGAUUUUUUACUAUUAUGCUUUUAAGUAGUUUUUUUCAUUUUUAAGAUAAUUUUGAUAGAUUAUUUGUUAUUAUUUGCGAGUUAGCAUAAAGGUGGAGCUUUGGGUUCUUUUUGUAGUAAUGUUUAGGGUCAGUGGCACAGUUCUGAGUUGAGUGACUGGGUUUGAUUUAUUUUUUACGGGUUUUUGUUUUUAUUAGCAGUUAGGUCGUUCUCAAUGUGUGUUUGAGUUUUUUGGGUUUCUGAGAUACUGGUUUGGGAGGAAGUUUAGGAUUAGAAUGGAUGGAGGUUUUGGGCUAGUUAUAUAGAGGGUUUUUUAAAUUUAUUUCUAGUUGGGUUUCUGUGAGUUUUUAAUAGGGUGAAAUGCAGUGGGAUCUUUGUUCUUUGUUAGUAGCAGAAAUGGGUUUAGUUUGGAUCUGCUGCGACGGGACGAGCGUGCUCCGCGUGCCGGCGCUGCCCGAGGCUCAGGAUUGUUGUGGGUCGGAUGUGUCAGGUGAGUGAGUUUGCAUGGUUUAAUAGACAGGUAAAA